GGCUCCUGCCGCCGCCGGCCGCGGACUCGUGGAGGCUCCCGUGCCGCGCCUGGCUGCCCCUCGCCGCUCCCUCCUCCCCCUCCUCCCGUCCCCUUCUCAGCCCGUGGGACAUUAGCGCGGCGAGCAGGAAGACAACGAGACCGCAGGAACACCUCCUUCCCCGCCCUCCCCGCUGCGCAUUUCGAUUUCACUUCCCGGGCCGGGCGGGGCGCUCCGGCCAAGCGCCGCCUUCCUCCGGCGGCACUGCGAGCGCGGCCGGGCCCCGGCGCGGCCUACGUCGGUGCGGUGCUGUUUCGGUUUGCUGAGGGUCCGUUGGUGCUGAGGAGGUGUGGGUUACGGGACAGGCCACGGACCAGAAGUGCACGCCCUCCUAAAAAGCUCCCGCCGUGGCUCUGGUGCCUGACAAGCACAAGGCACAUCCAUUCUCUUCUGUGUGUGAGCACUGCCAGGGUGCUGCGUCUGUCCCACAGUUCUCAAUUAAUUCGAUCGUACAAUCAUACAGUCAAAUAGCAGAUUUCACACCAGGAUCAUAGCAGUUGACCUGAGCUGCAGAACUCACUGAGGCCCACUUCUAAAGGCUCAGAGACAGAAUCAUUUUGCUACUCUCAGUUAAAUAUCUGUGCCCAUUUGCAUGAGGCAAAUGCGAGGUAGUAUGAUUUAAGGCAAUCCGCUUUGCAUCAGGUAAAGCAUAUUACUGGAUGUUUGUCGGAGGCUAAGAACUUUGCUACCAUGAUACUGCUGGUUUGUGGCAAUGCCAAAUGGCAAUCAGUCCCAUGCGUUGUCAUGUGUCUUCAAGGAACGAGUGAAGCAGGAGAGGUAUUUCCAGGCCCCACGAUUAUAUUUAAUAUGUCUGAAAGAACUUAAAUGAGACAAUGAUACAUAGUAUCAAUUAUUCACUCUAUUUAGAGAAGUGGCAAUAAUUACUAAAAGUUAUAUACCAUCUGGGUUGAUGCCUACAAAAUAGAGACUUCAUUUUGGCAGCAAACUCGAGUGACACAAUAGGCAUUUUCAGUCCCCCUUUAAUUCUGAUGAUAUUUUGCUAGUUUCAAAUGCCUUUCAUUUCAUGUUUUCUAACCAACAGAUUAGUCAAACUUUGGAACAGCUUUCCAGAGCCUUUGGAUGGUAACAGAAAAGAUAAUUAAUUCCAAGAUGGAGUGUUUCCCAUUUAUGAAUGGUAUUGUUGAGAAGGGAUGCGUGCAAUAAGAAAAAAAAGAAAGGAGAUCUCAGGAAACCAUACCAGUCUCACUUUCAUUUACUCUUCACUGCCCUAGCUUGGCUGAAAUGAACAGAGUUCUGCCAGUCUGGAGCAGUGCUUCAGAUAUUUCAAGAAGUUAAUUCUGGGGGAACUGUUCUCAUAUUGCAACUCCUGACUGUCAGAGCACUCUAAUUCCAGCCUCAAAGCAUCUAAGCAGACACUCUGCAAUUGCUACUGCAGUUUAAACCAUCUGAAGAGCUGGUAUGUUUCACAAUACCCACAUCAACUGUAUUUUUAUAAUAAACAACUGAAUAUUUGAACUACAAA
Molecule: long non-coding RNA, 1522 nt
Organism: Gallus gallus (chicken)
Lineage: Eukaryota; Metazoa; Chordata; Aves; Galliformes; Phasianidae
Exons: 2
Source: RefSeq, a predicted model, not a curated record